This is a long non-coding RNA of Equus caballus (horse), 3141 nucleotides long. NCBI's taxonomy places the organism in Eukaryota, Metazoa, Chordata, Mammalia, Perissodactyla, Equidae. The record is from Ensembl.
GUUUGUUUAUGUCAUUUUGUCAUUUUGCACCUCCUUCUUCAUCUAGUUAGCUGCAUAUGUGCUGUGUCACCUAGAAUUCUGGGAUGCCUUUCUUUGCUCCCCCAUUUCUCUGUACUUUCUUAAUGCACCGUUUCUGCUUAUUCAAAACCAGAGGGCUGUGUGUGCAGAGCUGUUUAUGCCCACGACUGCGUGCAGGAUGCUGGGAAUAGGGUGGAUUCUGCAGCACACAUCAUUGCCCUAAGGAACAUUAGUUGCCGCGCUGAUAAACUGAGAAAGAACAACAUGCCUCAGGGACAAUGCCAGACCCAUUUUAGAAGAGACUCCUUCAAGCACAUCUCCAGAAACAUGAGUCUUUUAAAGAAAACGAUCGUUUUCUUUCCCCCCAAUUUUUACUUUCUUUGGCUUCAUCCUCUUCUCUUAGGCCAUUCCAGGAUCAUUCCUUUCGGGACCUGAACAAGGCAUAUUGAACUAAAAAAAAAUCAGAGCCUAAAAUGAAGGUCUCUGCUGUUGUCAAGUUCAGGAUUAGCUGGAAAAGCUCUGCCUUUCUGGUACUGUCCCCCUAUCAUAAAACGCCAUUUUCCCAAGACAUUCUUGUAAUCCAUCGUUAUUCACCAAUCAGAGAGCCCAGUGGGGUGAUAUUUAAUUCAUGUCUGUCAAUCACGACACAAAGAAAAGGCCUUCAGCUGGCCACCGAGAGAAUCUUCUGCCGAUGGAACAAAGGGUCGGCGGGGAUCUGCGGUCCCAGCCGCGCUGUGUUCAGGGGCAGCUUGUCACAGGGCUGGCCCUUGCAUGGAUUCUGAUUAAUUGUGGCUUUGGAAGCAGCAAGGCAGAUUAAAGACAUUAAGUCGGCAGUGCAUCCCUGUGACAUAGUCAGGAGAAAAUAAGAUUGGGACUUUUGUGUUUCGGCUCUUCAGUCGCAGAUCAGCAUGUCCUUGGCAUCAGACUUCGGCGUCAAAUCCAAAUAUUUGAAUUUGAGAGUACCUCACCCUCUCGGCUGGUGGUUGUAUUAGCUCUGUAAUUUUUAAGCUGACAUAUCGGCAAAACAAAGUGGUCGAGAUAUGAAUCUAGUGUAUGAAAAUGAAAAAAGCUUCACUUCCAGGCCUUGCGUUUCUCUUGGGAUAUAAAUAAUAAAUAAACGAAAUGAAACACUUCCGUGGCAAUUGUGGGUAACACAAACACAGGAUUCGAAGGCAGCAGCUGGACAACAAAGGAGCAGUUCCUCGCGUUCGAGAUUAGCUCACCGAGGUUUUUUGUUUUGUUUUGUUUUUUUCCAAAAACAGUCACUGGGAAGUCCAGCGUGUUUUCCCUCCUCCCUGCCUCUCCUGUCUUAGUAAUGGAAUCAACAUGGUUUUGUGUGUUUGCACGAAGUCUGGGGACUUAAGCUGUUGCUAUUUGGUUCUGCAAAGUCUGAUUCCACCUUUCUUUUGGCUACAAGAAUCCUGACAUAUACAUCUUUUUCUUUCAAAAUACUUUCACGUUAUUUCACUGAGUUUUCCUGAAGGGAAGGGAAGGACUGUUUCACUAGCCCUUUUCACGAAUGGACAAACAGUAAGGGAGGGCGGUAUAGAAAUGAGUGAGGAGUGGCCAUGGGGAACAAAAGAAAGCAAUGGGUGUGGGGAUAGGAAGAGCUGGUUUGGAAUCUCAGCCUUUCUGAUUCCUAGCACUGGGAAUUUGGCAAGACCCUUAACCUCUUUAUCUUCACUUUCCUCUCCUGUUAAGUGGAAAUAGAGUCGUCACUGGUAUCCCUGGGGGACUGGUUCCAGGACCCCGUGGGUACCAAAAUCCACAGAUGCUCAAGGCCCUUACAUAAAAAGGCAUCUAUUUGCAUCUAAACUGCAUAUCCUCCUGUAUGCUUCAAAUCAUCUCUAGAUCGCUUGUAAUACGAUCUAAAUAGUUGUUAUACUGUAUUAUUUAGGAAAUAAUGGCAAGAGGAAAAGUCUGUAGGUAUUCAGUACACAUGCAACCGUCGUAGGCCUUUUGAUUCUAGCUUGUUGAAUCCAUGGGUGCAGAACCGUGGUUACAGAGAGUAGACUAUAAUAUCUUUCUCACAGUAUUCUUUCUACGAAUAAAUCAGAUGACACAGGUAAGAGCUCUUGGCACACAGUAGGUUCUUAGAAAUAGUAGUUUCUUCCUUAAGCCAAGAGCAGGUUGACAGCAGAGAUGGAACUUCUGCCUCCAACCAAGAUGCUCUGGACCUCUGGGCUAGCUCAGUUACUCUGGCAGAGGACUGGCAUUGUUGGCAUUGUUCAAUAAGCUGAAUGCCCAUGGGUUCACUUCUUCGCCCCAGGAGCAACAGCCGCAUCCCUUCUAGAAGUUUCCCUUCUCUCCUUCCUGAUUACAGUCCAGGUAAAAAGGAUGCUCGACUACCCUAAUCUUGUGGGUUGUGUCCUGUGGGCUGGUUUUGGCUGGAAUUCUACAGGUGAAAUGACUGCAGCCUUCUGUCUGCGAGGAGCCUUUGUUAUCUCCACAGUGAGUUUUGGACUCUUACAGUUUUUGAAGAAGAAAAAAAAGGAGGCAAGGACAGUGGCUCUUUGUGUCUCUCAAAGGCAGCACUGUUUCCUCUGGCUGGCACAGCCCAUGGACAACGUGCUGCCCUUCAUGCGAGAUUGUUUUACUGCCUGACACACGGACUGCCCAGUGCCAGCCUUUCAUGCAGGAGAGAAAUGCUGGGUGUCCCCUGCAAUGCAGGACAACUUUCAAACCAGCAAAUGGAGAUCAGCUUCUGCUGGUAACUGUCAAUAAUUCAUCCUCUCCUCUAACGUCCCUGGGAAGCAAGUUUUUGGAGUACUUCCUCUUACCUGACUGAUUUAUGACUCCCAUUGCCUAGCGAUCAACAGUGGUCUCGAGCUUGAAGUGGGUUUUAAGAUCCCUCUCACAUUUCUUUUAUUUAGAUUCAUUUUCAAAAGUUGAAGAUCAAUGAACAGCUUGACUGUUAUAGAUACUUAUCUGUUGAUGAGACCUGAACCACCAAGUGAUUCUGCACCAUUCAUUCAUUGACUUGUUUAACAGGUGUUUGCUGAGGACCAGCUCUGUGCCACCCACUGUGCCUGGUGCAGAGGUAGUGAGAGGAAACACACCUGUCUUCGGGGAGUUUAUAGAUAAGGGACAGUUCGCUAAGAUAAGUAACAAAGGGGCACUGUG